CGGGGGAACUGAAACAUCUAAGUACCCCGAGGAAAAGAAAUCAACCGAGAUUCCCCCAGUAGCGGCGAGCGAACGGGGAGGAGCCCAGAGCCUGAAUCAGCAUGUGUGUUAGUGGAAGCGUCUGGAAAGGCGCGCGAUACAGGGUGACAGCCCCGUACACAAAAGCGCAUGUGCUGUGAGCUCGAUGAGUAGGGCGGGACACGUGGUAUCCUGUCUGAAUAUGGGGGGACCAUCCUCCAAGGCUAAAUACUCCUGACUGACCGAUAGUGAACCAGUACCGUGAGGGAAAGGCGAAAAGAACCCCGGCGAGGGGAGUGAAAAAGAACCUGAAACCGUGUACGUACAAGCAGUGGGAGCCCCACCACUAAGCCAGUGGUGAACUCCACAUACGCAUCCUUUGCUGAGGAUACGGUUAACGGAGCGAAAGCGACGUUCAACCGCAAAAGAAGCAGAGGGGGCUUAGUGGUGGGGUGACUGCGUACCUUUUGUAUAAUGGGUCAGCGACUUAUAUUCUGUAGCAAGGUUAACCGAAUAGGGGAGCCGGAGGGAAACCGAGUCUUAAUUGGGCGUUAAGUUGCAGGGUAUAGACCCGAAACCCGGUGAUCUAGCCAUGGGCAGGUUGAAGGUUGGGUAACACUAACUGGAGGACCGAACCGACUAAUGUUGAAAAAUUAGCGGAUGACCUGUGGCUGGGGGUGAAAGGCCAAUCAAACCGGGAGAUAGCUGGUUCUCCCCGAAAGCUAUUUAGGUAGCGCCUCGUGAAUUCAUCUCCGGGGGUAGAGCACUGUUUCGGCUAGGGGGCCAUCCCGGCUUACCAACCCGAUGCAAACUGCGAAUACCGGAGAAUGUUAUCACGGGAGACACACGGCGGGUGCUAACGUCCGUCGUGAAGAGGGAAACAACCCAGACCGCCAGCUAAGGUCCCAAAGUCAUGGUUAAGUGGGAAACGAUGUGGGAAGGCCCAGACAGCCAGGAUGUUGGCUUAGAAGCAGCCAUCAUUUAAAGAAAGCGUAAUAGCUCACUGGUCGAGUCGGCCUGCGCGGAAGAUGUAACGGGGCUAAACCAU
Molecule: ribosomal RNA, 1066 nt
Filed under: Salmonella enterica subsp. enterica serovar Tennessee
Lineage: Bacteria; Pseudomonadati; Pseudomonadota; Gammaproteobacteria; Enterobacterales; Enterobacteriaceae
Description: partial 23S ribosomal RNA
Rfam family: Bacterial large subunit ribosomal RNA
Source: RNAcentral